Camellia sinensis is the source of this 535-nucleotide non-coding RNA. NCBI's taxonomy places the organism in Eukaryota, Viridiplantae, Streptophyta, Magnoliopsida, Ericales, Theaceae. The record is from RefSeq and is a predicted model, not a curated record.
CAAGCUAAAAAAUAUAUAAACCGUCGGAUCACCUAGGGAUGAUAAAUCGACGGUCAAAAAUCAAAGUUUGACUGAAGUACGAAUUAGGUUGGAAUGAUUGGCUUUGAUAACGACUUUGACCGUAGAAAAAUUGAAAAAAACAAGAGAGAGAGAGAGAGAGGGGGGGGGAAGCUGGUGGUGUUGUUGGUGGAUUGGUGUCUUUUUCGCAAAUUCCUAUCUCUGUUGAAUGAAGCAGAGGAGAAAGAUUGGAGAGCCAUAGCUUUCUCUCUCUCUCUCUCUUAUUGAUCAAGAAAUUUAGGGAGAGAGACAAAUUAGGGUUUCGUUUCAGAAACCAUAAUGAAUGUCAUGCGUCGCCUCAAGAGCAUCGCUUCCGGCCGCUCCUCUGUUUCCGAUCCUGUAUAGAAAAGUUUGGGCUUUGGUGGUAAUGUGGUGGUGAAAGUGGUUUAGUUAUUCAACAACAGCUAUGGGUUCUUCUUAUUUUGAGGGUUAGAAAUUUGUUGGAGAGAUGCAAAAUAUGGUCAAAGAAUUCAAUGAC